ACUUGUUUUAUCCGAAUAAUUUUAUCCGAAUAAGUGUAUAGAUAUUUUGACAGGAAUUUAAUAAGUAGACAAAAAAGUGGUCAGGAUUUUUAUUUUGUUAAAAUCUUGGCUAAAUUAAAUGUGAUUUAUUGUUAAAAAAAAGAAAAAGAAAGUGAACUGCUGCUGGGAAUUUUAUUUUAAAAAGAUAAACACAAACUUUAUAUGGCAAAAUAGAAAUCUAACACGAAAGUCUAAAACAGUUAUUGAAAAAUAGCAGACUUUGAGUUACAUCCAAACAAAAUUUCAACAACAGGCAGUUUAAGAAAGAAUGGACAUUAACUUUUGUCUGGGCAAAUAACAAAUUCAAUUAGUUAAAAAAAGCCUAGAUGGCUAUUUUCAAUCAUCUUUUUUAAAGAUUAAAACUUCUGGAGAUCGUUCUUAAAGAAACGCUUGAAUUCGCGUAAACACGUUUUAAAUGAACUGAUUUCGACUCCGUUGCGUAUAGGCUAAAGAUGGAACAGAAGAAAAAUGGUAUACCUACAGUUAAAGUAGAGAAUACAGCGUUGCGGGAAUUGGAGGAAGAAGACGCUAUACGUCGUCUUGAAGAUGUUGUUGACACUAUGACGGAUAUGGCUCAUAUACGAAGGAAUUCAAGAACGAAAGAUGAUCACCAAAUGGAAAUCAGUCCAGCGUUGGUAAAAGGCAAGU
Ruditapes philippinarum (Manila clam) is the source of this 687-nucleotide long non-coding RNA. RefSeq lists it as uncharacterized. The record is from RefSeq and is a predicted model, not a curated record. The transcript is spliced from 3 exons. NCBI's taxonomy places the organism in Eukaryota, Metazoa, Mollusca, Bivalvia, Venerida, Veneridae.